GCACCCGUGCCCGGCCGGCCCGGGCCGGCGCCGGGGCCGCCGCAGGGUCCCCGCUCGACGGGAUCCGUGCCGUGUUCGGGGACCGGCGGCUGCGC
RNAcentral lists this transfer RNA (95 nucleotides) under Streptomyces lavendulae subsp. lavendulae. RNAcentral describes it as "tRNA-Pro". The record is from RNAcentral. Lineage: Bacteria; Bacillati; Actinomycetota; Actinomycetes; Kitasatosporales; Streptomycetaceae.